Molecule: long non-coding RNA, 1794 nt
Organism: Serinus canaria (Common canary)
Lineage: Eukaryota; Metazoa; Chordata; Aves; Passeriformes; Fringillidae
Exons: 5
Source: RefSeq, a predicted model, not a curated record
AAAUACCUAGAAAUAACAGAUGUUCAACAUUACACAAAGACUCUAUUUCAUAUACAUACUAAAUAAAAAUACUAAUAUAAAUAUAGUUAAAUUUACAAUAUCUAAUAAAUUUACAAGGUGUAAGAUAUUAAAAUAUCUAGAAAUAAAAUAGAAUUUAAAUAUGAUGCAAAGUCAAGUGUCAAUAUGUUACACAUACUACAAAUGAUAAAUAAAAUACUAUAAAAUAUAGCUAGGUUUAUAAUAUCCAAUAAAUUUAUAUGAAGCAAUAAUAUAUAAAAAUACCUAGAAAUAGCAGAAUUUCAACAUUACACAAAGUCUCAAUAUAACACAUAUACUAUACAUAAUUUAAAAAAAUAUAAAAUACUAUAAAAUAUAGCUAGAUUUCUAAUAGCUAAUAAAUUUACAUGAAGCAAUAACAUACAAAAAUAUCUAGAAAUAAUAGAAUUUCAGUAUCAAUUUUAUAUAUACACUAAAUAAACAUAAUAAUAUAAAAUAUAGUUAAAUUUGUAUCUAAUAAAUUUAUAUGAAGUAACAAAAAAUUAAAAUAUCUAGAAAUAACAGAACUUAAAUAGUAUGCAAAGUCAAGUCUCAAUAUAUUACAUAUACUACAAAUUAUAAAAAAUAAUAUAAAAUACUAUGAAAUAAAGCUAGAUUUCUAAUAGCUAAGAAAUUUACAUGAAGCAAUAAAAUAUAAAAAUACCUAGAAUAGAAUUUCAAAGUCACACAAAGUAUCAAUUUAACACAUAUACUAAAUAAAAAUAAUAAUAUCAAAUAUAGCAAAAUUUAUAAUAAAUGUAUAAUAUCUAUAAAAUUUACAUGAAGCUAUAAUAUAUAUAAAAUACCUGGAAAUAACAGAAUUUCAGCUUUACAUAGAGUAUCCAUUUAAUACAUAUACUAAAUAAAAAUAAUAAUCUAAAAUAUAGCUAAAUGUAUCUUAAUGUAUAAAUCUAAUUAAUUUAUAUGAAGUAAUAAUUUAUAAAAUACCUAGAAAUAACAGAAUUUCAGUAUUACACAGAGUACCCAUUCAAUCCAUAUAAUAAUAAAAUAAUAAUCUAAAAUAUAGCUAGAGGUAUAAUACUCUAUAAUCUCCAAUAAACUUAGCUGAGGCAGUAAUUUCUGAAAUGAGAACCCAGCAGGCCCAGGCUGGCCCAGGUGUGAGCGCUGCGGUUCCCAGGUGUGAGCGCUGCCGUUCCCAGUUGUGAGCGCUGCCGUUCCCAGGUGUGAGCGCUGCCGUUCCCCAGGUGUGAGCGCUGCCGUUCCCCGGUGUGAGCGCUGCCGUUCCCAGGUGUGAGCGCUGCCGUUCCCCAGGUGUGAGCGCUGCCGUUCCCGGGUGUGAGCGCUGCGGUUCCCAAGUGUGAGCGCUGCCGUUCCCGGGUGUGAGCGCUGCCGUUCCCAGGUGUGAGCGCUGCCGUUCCCAGGUGUGAGCGCUGCCGUUCCCAGCUGUGAGCGCUGCCGUUCCCCGGUGUGAGCGCUGCCGUUCCCAGGUGUGAGCGCUGCCGUUCCCAGCUGUGAGCGCUGCCGUUCCCCGGUGCGAGCGCUGCCGUUCCCAGGUGUGAGCGCUGCCGUUCCCCAGGUGCGAGCGCUGCCGUUCCCCAAGUGUGAGCGCUGCCGUUCCCGGGUGUGAGCGCUGCCGUUCCCGGGUGUGAGCGCUGCCGUUCCCGGGUGUGAGCGCUGCCGUUCCCAGGUGUGAGCGCUGCCGUUCCCCAGGUGUGAGCGCUGCCGUUCCCAGGUGUGAGCGCUGCCGUUCCCCAGGUGUGAGCGCUGCCGUUCCCCGGUGUGAGCGCUGCCGUUCCC